Molecule: ribosomal RNA, 710 nt
Filed under: uncultured bacterium
Lineage: Bacteria
Description: bacterial SSU rRNA
Rfam family: Bacterial small subunit ribosomal RNA
Source: RNAcentral
GGUGAGUAACACGUGGGUAACCUGCCCUAUAGACUGGGAUAANUCGCGGAAACGCGUGCUAAUACCGGAUAACACAUCAAAGUGCAUGCUUUGAUGUUGAAAGAUGGUUCUGCUAUCACUAUAGGAUGGGCCCGCGGCGCAUUAGCUUGUUGGUGGGGUAACGGCCUACCAAGGCGACGAUGCGUAGCCGACCUGAGAGGGUGAUCGGCCACACUGGGACUGAGACACGGCCCAGACUCCUACGGGAGGCAGCAGUAGGGAAUCUUCCACAAUGGGCGAAAGCCUGAUGGAGCAACGCCGCGUGAGCGAAGAAGGUCUUCGGAUCGUAAAGCUCUGUUGUAAGGGAAGAACAAGUGCAGUAGUAACUGGCUGCACCUUGACGGUACCUUACUAGAAAGCCACGGCUAACUACGUGCCAGCAGCCGCGGUAAUACGUAGGUGGCAAGCGUUGUCCGGAAUUAUUGGGCGUAAAGCGCGCGCAGGCGGUUUCUUAAGUCUGAUGUGAAAGCCUCCGGCUUAACCGGGGAGGGUCAUUGGAAACUGGGAGACUUGAGUGCAGGAGAGGGAAGCGGAAUUCCAUGUGUAGCGGUGAAAUGCGUAGAGAUAUGGAGGAACACCAGUGGNNAAGGCGGCUUCCUGGCCUGUAACUGACGCUGANGCGCGAAAGCGUGGGGAGCAAACAGGAUUAGAUACCCCUGGUAGUCCACGCC